This 1449-nucleotide long non-coding RNA is filed under the name Laticauda laticaudata (blue-ringed sea krait). RNAcentral describes it as "lncRNA (ENSLLTG00000008627.1)". The record is from RNAcentral. Lineage: Eukaryota; Metazoa; Chordata; Lepidosauria; Squamata; Elapidae.
GUUUUGGAAGGGUCCCACCACCCCAUACCUCCUGCUUCCUCCAUGGGGCUGGUAUUUUGUUCCCGGCCCCCACCAGCGGUAUCCCAGCGGGAGAUCCCCUCCAUCGAUCUACUGGCUCUCGCCUGGAGUUGGUCUCUGAAGCAAACUGCUGCCUUUACCAGAAGAUCUGGCGAAGUGGCUCCCACCCCCCUCUUUCGGCCUUCCAGGCUUGUGUCGUGGGAAAUCACACACCCGGUUGUUCUCUACGUUUUGUCCUACCUGGUGCUCCUCCUCGCCAAUCCUACUGCCUCUCAAUCGCUCAGAAGAGGUUGGCUGAUUGUGGGGAUGGUCUAGAUUGCUUCUGAUGGACUCUAGGGAGAGAAACCCCAGGAUCUAUUUUUCUGUCUGAUGCUACAGAGGUUUGUGGACUCUGGAUUCCAGAACCUCCAUUCAGGGAUGGGCUCCUAACUAAGACCGAGAAGAGCUUAACAAGUCUAGUUGACGACUUCAAAGGGUCCUCAGCCACCAUGAAUGGAGUAUCACCAUGCCUUCAUGGCCAACUGCACUUUCUGGUUGUCUUCUGUCCCUAAGUCAUCACUGAUCAACCCAGACCACCCUAAGCUUCUCAACCAAAGAGUUCAGGACUACACAUUGUCUAUAUCCUGAACUUGUGACAUGGAAAUGUUUGUCUCCUGCUGCUGAAGAAGCAAGAGGACUCACCAAAAUGAAGUUCUUCUAGGAACUAGCAUGUUUGGUCCUCGCCAAGGAAAAACCUAUUGGCUGUCCCUAGGAUCUCCAAAGCGCUUAGAUUGUCUGUGGCACCACCAGAUUCCUCGACAGACCUCUGAAAAUCCAUAUCUUCUGAUAUUCCAGGUGUCCAACAAAUCUCCAGUUCUCUGGAUCUCCAGCUAGACAACACAGAGCCUUGAGAAACUUCUAUAGAUAACUCCUGGACGAUUGCUUUCUUUGGAGUUGCAAGACGUUUUUGGGGAGGGAGGUUUCUUAUAUACUAGGAAAAGUAGUGUAGCUCAGACGAUUCCACAGGAUUGUGCCCAGACGAAUUUUUUUUGAUGCGUAUUUUGCACUUUCACGCCCAUGAUUUUUUCUAAACUUUAAUAUAAUCCCAUCUCUGCCGCAUGUUCGUUACCACUAAAUGUUGGGCUCAGCCUACUGUUAGUUUCUUCGUGCUUCAGGACUCUGGAGAGUCAGUGCUCCUCCUUGGUGCUCCCUGGAGUUGAUGCCCAACAAAAGUCAAACAAGCCAGCGUUAGCCAAAUUGGAAUUGCAGCUCAGCUGAACCAGAGGCUCCUGGCCAGAGACAGAGAACGGCUUGCCAGAUUGAUGUCUGGCCAUCCAAAGGGAGUCAUGGAGGACUGAAGCCGGUCUGGGUGGAGCCGAGCCAUGUAGAAACGACUUCGACGGGCAGGAGGGAUGUGCACGGGGACUCGGAGGUAACUGCAGCCCGACUGGC